GAGUCAUGAGAUAGAGCUAGAGGAAGAUGAACCUCAGAAGAAAAGCAAAUCAGUAAUUCUAAAGUCUGGAUCAGAAAGAAGAAAUCUAGAAAGGAAGGAAGUCUUUCAAGCUGAAGAAGAAGACGACGAGGACUCUGAGAAGGAAGAUUCUGAUGAUGAAGAGGAGUUAUCUCUUCUAUCCAGAUGAAUCAAAUGGCUCUUGAGAAAAAGAAAUAACAACUUCAGAAGACCCAGACAGAAGGGAAAUCAUCUUGAGUCAACCUCCAGAGGUAGAUCCAACAGAGAAGUGACUUGCUAUGAAUGUAAAGAACCUGGACACUAUAGAAAUGAAUGUCCAAAGCUUAAGAAAGACAGCUCCAGAAAGGAAGGUUUCAAGAACAACUCCUUCAAAGCAAAUAAGAAGGGACUCAUGGCAACAUGGGAUGACUCUGAAUCUUAAGCUUCAGAAUCUGAUUCUGAAGAGGAGCAAGCAAAUGUUGCACUCAUGGCCACUACUUCUGAAAGUUCAUCUGAAAGAGAAUCUGACUCUGAAGAGGUAUUCUUUGACUUUUCUUGUUCUGAUCUAGAAGCCUGCUUAUCAGAAUCUCUGAGCUCUUAUCAGAAGCUUCGACAAAAAUUCA
RNAcentral lists this long non-coding RNA (620 nucleotides) under Lathyrus oleraceus (garden pea). RNAcentral describes it as "Pisum sativum (pea) long non-coding RNA (PSAT_LNC001142)". Lineage: Eukaryota; Viridiplantae; Streptophyta; Magnoliopsida; Fabales; Fabaceae. The record is from RNAcentral.